UACGUAGGGACCAAGCGUUGUUCGGAUUUACUGGGCGUAAAGGGCGCGUAGGCGGCUUUUCAAGUGACGGGUGAAAUCCCUCGGCUUAACCGAGGAACUGCCUGUCAGACUGGAAGGCUUGAGACCGGGAGAGGUGAGUGGAAUUCCCAGUGUAGCGGUGAAAUGCGCAGAUAUCAGGAGGAACACCGGUGGCGAAGGCGGGUCUCUGGGCCGAUACUGACGCUGAGGAGCGAAAGCGUGGGGAGCGAACAGG
This 253-nucleotide ribosomal RNA is filed under the name uncultured bacterium. RNAcentral's name for it is "partial 16S ribosomal RNA". It matches the Rfam family "Bacterial small subunit ribosomal RNA", at positions 524 to 776 of the family's 1533-position model. The record is from RNAcentral.